AUGGCUGCUUCUCCAAGUCCUGGUGGGAACAACCUCAUGGGGUCAGACUUUCAGUUCUGUGUUGUGUACUCGGACCCAAAUCACCUUUUUUUUUUUUUUUCUAAAUGGCACCAUUUGAUAAAUAUGAGUACCCCACUGUCCUCUUCUCCCCCAUCAAGGAGCCGCCUCCUCUUUUCCAUCUCAAUGAGUUGCUCUGGAAGGACAACUUGUGCUUGUCUGCAGAGGAAGGGCACUGGUUAUACCUCUAUACAUAUUGGUCAGAGCAUCUGUGUUGAACUUACUCAGGACCUUGCAAAGAAAUGGGUGGCUUGGGACUUCCUUUGGCACCUGCAACAGCUGUGGCAUCUUAUGAGGAAGGGCAGCAUCUGAUUCUUCCUCCCUUACAACAUGCUGACAACAACCUAAAGCUUUCCAGCAAUGGGUAGAAUAGGAAGGAGCGAGAUGGGUGAAGGGCAGCUAAAGAUGCCAAGUGGAGGUCCAGAGCUAAUUUCAGAGGUCACGUGAGCUCAGGUUUGUGACUGGUCAGAUCUGGUGGACAAGUUUCAGCUGUCAGCACCUGGGGGCGGGGGGUCAAAUUCAUCAUAUCAGCAUCCUCAGGCUAAUGGCAUUUCUGUUCUUCAGCAAGUCAGAGCCCUAAUUCUGAAAGCCAGAGGGGGAAGAUGAAAAAGCUCCUCUCAAAGAGUUCAUCUUUUUCUUCUCUGACAAGAGGCAGUGGAAUGGAGUAUUUUUCCUAAGGAUUCUGUUUGAGGAUUCCAUCCUCCCAUGACGCUCUAAUUAACAAUGGCAACGAACGUCACCUCAGCCUUACUGUCUGGCUGCAGACUAGCCUGGUUGUUUGCAGAUGGAUUAUCUGCCUGGCUUCUGCCUCCAGCAGGGAGCCCACCACUGCCUGCAAGCCACGCGUGUUUUCAAGGCGGAGAUUAAGUGAGCUCAGGAGGAAAAAUGGCUCAGACCGUGACCAAAAGCUCUGGUUUCAUGUCUGCACCCAGCUCUGCAGUGAGUGACUGCCUCUCCUCACCUUGGUUUCUCCCAUGUGGAAGGCAGCACUUGUGAAAGCCAUGAUGAAAUAUAGCUUGAAAUAGGGCCCCCUGCAAAACUGGGGGCUCUCUGGAAAGGGUGCUCAGCAGGGGCUGGUCUGGGCGCUGCAAACUUCCAGGCGAAGAGGCGGCUGGGGGCCGGGGGAGCGCAGGCGUGGGAGCGGGAGGAGGCAUUUAAUUAUUUCAUUGGGGUUUUAUGCGCUGAGGGCGGCGUGCGCUGGGGCUGACGGAAAACCUGAGUGGUUCCGAAAAGCUGCCAACACCUUCCCCCCCCCAAAAAAAAAAAGAAAAAAAAGGGGGGAGGGAAGCACAGAAACCAGCAACCCCCCUCU
This 1369-nucleotide long non-coding RNA is filed under the name Anas platyrhynchos platyrhynchos (common mallard). RNAcentral describes it as "lncRNA (ENSAPLG00000018014.1)". Lineage: Eukaryota; Metazoa; Chordata; Aves; Anseriformes; Anatidae. The record is from RNAcentral.